GAUGAAGAACGCAGCGAAAUGCGAUAAGUAGUGUGAAUUGCAGAAUUCAGUGAAUCAUCGAAUCUUUGAACGCACAUUGCGCCCUUUGGUAUUCCAAAGGGCAUGCCUGUUCGAGCGUCAUUUGUACCCUCAAGCUUUGCUUGGUGUUGGGCGUCUUGUCUCUAGCUUUGCUGGAGACUCGCCUUAAAGUAAUUGGCAGCCGGCCUACUGGUUUCGGAGCGCAGCACAAGUCGCACUCUCUAUCAGCAAAGGUCUAGCAUCCAUUAAGCCUUUUUUUCAACUUUUGACCUCGGGUCAGGUAGGGAUACCCGCUGAACUUAAGCAUAUCAUAAGCGGAGGA
Molecule: unclassified non-coding RNA, 340 nt
Filed under: soil metagenome
Description: partial contains 5.8S ribosomal RNA, internal transcribed spacer 2, and large subunit ribosomal RNA
Rfam family: 5.8S ribosomal RNA (bases 1-120)
Source: RNAcentral